RNAcentral lists this ribosomal RNA (414 nucleotides) under uncultured bacterium. RNAcentral's name for it is "bacterial SSU rRNA". It matches the Rfam family "Bacterial small subunit ribosomal RNA", at positions 38 to 497 of the family's 1533-position model. The record is from RNAcentral.
GGCGGCACGCCUAACACAUGCAAGUCGAACGAAGUAGCAAUACUUAGUGGCAGACGGGUGAGUAACAUGUAGGUAUCUGCCCUUUGGCCUGGAAUAACACGAGGAAACUUGUGCUAAUACCGGAUAAGUCUUUACGGAGAAAGCUUUAUGCACCAUUGGAUGAGCCUGCACUUGAUUAGUUUGUUGGUGGGGUAAUGGCCUACCAAGACUGUGAUCAAUAGCUGAUUUGAGAGGAUGAUCAGCCACAUUGGGACUGAGACACGGCCCAAACUCCUACGGGAGGCAGCAGUGGGGAAUCUUGCACAAUGGAGGAAACUCUGAUGCAGCGAUGCCGCGUGAGUGAAGAAGGCCUUUGGGUUGUAAAGCUCUUUCGUCGGGGAAGAAAAUGACUGUACCCGAAUAAGAAGGUCCGGC